RNAcentral lists this transfer RNA (72 nucleotides) under Camelus bactrianus (Bactrian camel). It matches the Rfam family "tRNA". From Rfam's summary of the family: Transfer RNA (tRNA) molecules are approximately 80 nucleotides in length. Their secondary structure includes four short double-helical elements and three loops (D, anti-codon, and T loops). Lineage: Eukaryota; Metazoa; Chordata; Mammalia; Artiodactyla; Camelidae. RNAcentral also lists the same sequence under 2 other names. The record is from Rfam by way of RNAcentral.
GAAGGUAUAGCUCAGUGGCAGAGCGCACACCUAGCAAACACAAGGUCCUGGGUUCAAUCCUCAGUACCUCCA